CCUACGGGGUGCAGCAGUAGGGAAUCUUCCACAAUGGGCGAAAGCCUGAUGGAGCAACGCCGCGUGGGUGAAGAAGGUCUUCUGAUCGUAAAACCCUGUUGUUACAGAAGAAAGUGCGUGAGAGCAACUGUUCACGUUUCGACGGUAUCUAACCAGAACGCCACAGCUCACUACGUGCCAGCAGCCGCGGUAAUACGUAGGUGCCAAGCGUUAUCCGGUUUUAUUGGGCGUAAAGGGAACGCAGGCGGUCUUUUAAGUCUGAUGUGAAAGCCUUCGGCUUAACCGGAGUAGUGCAUUGGAUACUGGGAGACUUGAGUGCAGAAGAGGAGAGUGGAACGCAAUGUGUAGCGGUGAAAUGCGUAGAUAUAUGAAAGAACACCAGUGGCGAAGGCGGCUCUCUAGUCUGUAACUGACGCUGAGGUACGAAAGCGUGGGUAGCAAACAGGAUUAGAUACCCUUGUAGUC
This 465-nucleotide ribosomal RNA is filed under the name uncultured bacterium. Its description in RNAcentral is "partial 16S ribosomal RNA". It matches the Rfam family "Bacterial small subunit ribosomal RNA", at positions 338 to 795 of the family's 1533-position model. The record is from RNAcentral.